Molecule: long non-coding RNA, 3093 nt
Organism: Zonotrichia leucophrys gambelii
Lineage: Eukaryota; Metazoa; Chordata; Aves; Passeriformes; Passerellidae
Exons: 3
Source: RefSeq, a predicted model, not a curated record
GAGGGGAGAGUUGGAGUUUGUUGGUUGGGCUGUGAGGAAGAAGGAGUCAGUGCUGCAAGGAACUGCCCAUGAGAAACCACCAAGAAGCCAAACUGUUUUGAAGUGAAACUCAGAACACUUGAAGAAAACGGUUGGAGAAAAAAGUCUUUCAGUCCCAUCAAUGAUCACAGACCAAGGGAAGCCAAAUAUAUUCAGGUGUACUGUUCAGAUAGGCCUUUAAUUUUGAAACACAAUGAAUAUGGGACUAAUUUCUCUUAAAAGGGAUAAAUGUAUGAAAUUUUUGGAGGAAUGUUAGCUGAAUAAGUGUAUAAUUAAAUACAUGCAAGGGUGACAAAAUCAAUAGCUAAUAAAGUUAUGUUCAGACUGGAGUAUUACUGGACCUUUUCUCAGAGUAUUUAAUGGUCAUAUCAGUCCAAAGUUCAUAUUGAGAAGUAAAUAUGAAUGCUUCAUGCUUCUGAAUUCAAAUUCCUAUUCCUAAGUGGCUUUUGAUGAUGAUUCUUUCUGACAGUCCUGUAAAAUUAGUUGUAAAACACUAUAAAUUAUUUUGAAUUCUAAAAUCCAGUGUUGAGGAAAAUAAGAUCAGCCCUCUAUUUUCAAACAGCAAAGAAACACAAAGGAAGAAAAAGAGAUAAAAUGUCUUUACUAGAAAGUGCAGCAGCCACACCAUUGAAGUUGCAGAAAGAAAAGGCAGUAACUGGGAGAAUGAAGAACUGCCAGCUGUAGGAGAAGAUAAAGUUCUUGAAAAUCUCAGGACACCAAAGGUACACAAGUCCUUGAGACCUGAUGAGAGGCAUCCUUGGGUCUUGAGGAAACUGGUGGCUGAAGUUGCUAAGCCACUGUCCAUUAUACUGGGAUGAUGUGGUGGUCUGGUGGAGCUCCCACUGAGGGAAAAAGGGAAACAUAAUUUCAUUUUUUAAUAAGAUUAAAAAAAUGAAAGCACUAAAGAACAACAGAUAGUCUCAACUUGGUGUAGGCAAGAUCAUGGAGAAGAUAAUCCUGGAAUCUCUACUAAGACGCCUGGAAAAUAAGGAGGUUAUUUAUGAAAGCUGACAUGGCUUCUCUAAUGGCAAUUUGCAUCCAACAAAUUUGGUGGCUUUCUGUGACAAGCUUACAGUCUUGCUGGAUAAGGGAAGAGUAACAGAUGUCAUCUACCUGGAUUUGUGUAAAACAUUUGGCACUUUCCUGGACAACAUUCCUGUCCCUAUGGCAUGGAUUGGAUGGACCACACAGUGGAUAAGGAAUUGACACUCAAAGCAUUGAAGUCAAGAGCUCAAUGUCCAAAUGGACACCAGUGGUGAUGGUGCCCUUCAGGAGUCAGUGUUGGGACUGGCAUUGUUUGACAUCUUUGUCAGCAGCACAGACAGUGAGAUUCAGUACACUCUCAGCAAGUUUGUCCACAACUCCAAGCUGUGUGGUGUGAGCAACAUAAAGAAGGGAAGAGAUGCCAUCCAGAGGGACCAGGUGAACCUCAUGAAGUUUAUCGAGGCCAAGUGCAAGGUCAUACACGUUGUUCAGGCUAAUUCCAGCCACAGAUACAGGCUGGGCAGAGGCCUGUAUGCCUCCUAGAGGAAUGGAUUGAGAGCAGCCCUGAGGACAAAGACUUGGGAAUAUGAGUUGUUGUGAAGAGUGACAUGACCUAGUAAUGUGUGCUCACUCUUCACCAAGACAGCUAUACCCUGAGCUGUAUCAAAAGCAGAAUGACCAGCAUGUUGAAGGAUUUGAUUCUGUACCUGUAUUCAACUCUCCUGAGACUCAGCUGGAGCACUGGUUCCAGCUCUAAAUAUUUACCCAUUGGAGGAAGUCCAGAGGAGUGCCUUGAAGCAUCUCUUCUAUGAAGAUGGGCUGAAAGAGUUGAGGCUAUUUAGUUUGGAGAAGAAAAGACUCCAGGAAGGCCUGAUUGCAGCUUUCCAGCACCUAAAUUUGGGCAGGGAUUUUUCAAAAGGGCAUAUAGUGAUAAGACAAGGAGAAAUAGCUUUAAAACAAAAGUGGGUACCUUUAGAUCAGAUACAAAGAGGACAUGCUUUACAUGAAGCAUGAAGUGGGUAAGGCAUUGAAACAGAUUGUUCAGAGAAGCUGUGGAUGCUGCUUGUCUGGAUGUGUUCAAGACCAGUUAGAUGGGGCUUUGAGUCUCUUGGCCUGGUGGAAGGUGUCCCUGUCCAUGACAAAGAGCUUGAAACUAGAUAAUCCCUAAGGUCCCUUACAAGCCAAACAAUUCUAUAACUCUAUAAAUGUUUAUUCUUUAAAAAUCACCAUGAAAUAUGAAUCAUUUUGAAUGAGGUUCUAGCCUUGAAAGAGGGUGGUAUCAAUUUCCAUGUAUUAAAAGGAAUUGCAUACACUGCACAGCUGUUGUACCUAAUCCUUACAAGCAGUGAAGCUAAUUAGCCUUGGCACAGCAACACACUGACAUUGCCAUGUUGCUUGGGCUCUGUCAGAGUAGCUCAGGUAUCUCCACGGAACGGAACAGUUCAAUGCAUGCAUACACAACAGGAAUCAAAUUCUCACUUCCCAUACUCCACUGCUUAGAUAAUGCCAACUCUGAAAUCAAAUAAUGUCGCUAAUUAAAGGAGCAUUUUUAGCAGAAAGGAAAGUCAUGCUAGCAGAUUGCAGCUGAGUAGGGAGGGGAAAGAAAUGAUGAGGACACAAACCUGAGAAAUAAAGUGUGAAAAAGAAUGUAACGAAGAAAUGUUUAUCAUUUUAGAUUCUUGCUCUGCCAUACAGCUCAAUGUAGUAAUUUAAAUCAAAACUAUAAAAUUCCAGGUAAUAUAGUAAAUCCUGCAGCUACCAUGAGGGUGAACAACAUUCCAGGUGGCUGAGACAAGAGUCCUCAUAAUCUUAAAUAUUGCUUCUAGUUAACAAUUAUUUUUUCCUCUGAAAUACAAUGAAAAAUUCCUUUUUCUUACAUAUAAUUCACUUACUUUCUGGGACUUGGCCUCACUUUAGAAAAAGCAAUGAGAAAAUUGUACAGAAGCAUGACAACUUUUCGUAAUAAAAAAUUAAAUUAUCGCCUAUGCUUACAUUAGAUGUUUUUAUCUCUACCUAUUUUAUGUCUUCAUAAGCAGCUAAAUAUUUUUUCCAGUGAUACUAUCCCUGAUA